CGAGCACGCGCGUGUGGCAUAUCAAUAAGCGGAGGAAAAGAAACUAACAAGGAUUCCCUUAGUAACGGCGAGUGAAGCGGGAAGAGCUCAAAUUUGAAAUCUUCAAGGUUCUACCUUGACGAAUUGUAGUUUAUAGAAGUGUUUUCUGUUAGUGGAGUGGCAAAAGUUCUUUGGAAUAGGACAUCAUAGAGGGUGAGAAUCCCGUAUUUGGCCAUUCCUCCUAGCGUUGUGAUACACUUUCAACGAGUCGGAUUGUUUGGGAAUGCAGUCCAAAAUGGGUGGUAAAUUUCAUCUAAAGCUAAAUAUUGGCGAGAGACCGAUAGCGAACAAGUACCGUGAGGGAAGGAUGAAAAGAACUUUGAAAAGAGAGUUAAACAGUACGUGAAAUUGUCAAAAGGGAAGCGUUUGACACCAGUGUUGUUUUUCCGAAAAUCAAUUACGAAUGUUUUGUUUUUGAGGAGUUAUGACUUCAUCGGCUUGCUCCUUUCUUUAUGAAACUUUCUUAAUGCACUUUUCGGUUAACAAGUCAACAUCAAUUUCUUUUGUUGUAAAAGGGUAUGAGGAAGGUGGCUUUCUUUUCGGAGAAAGUGUUUAUAGCCUUGUGCCUCUACAAUCGGAGAGAUUGAGGUCUGCAGCGUAGAUCCUUCGGGGUUAGAUACGUUUGUGCUAAGUUAUAGCUUUUCAUAGACAACUUGUUGACUAUGUUUAGUCUUGUAGCUUACUCGCUGACGCUAUUUUACCUACGCUUAGGAUGUUGAGUAGCGACAUACGCAC
Molecule: ribosomal RNA, 774 nt
Filed under: uncultured Neocallimastigales
Lineage: Eukaryota; Fungi; Neocallimastigomycota; Neocallimastigomycetes; Neocallimastigales
Description: partial large subunit ribosomal RNA
Rfam family: Eukaryotic large subunit ribosomal RNA
Source: RNAcentral